Rosa rugosa (rugosa rose) is the source of this 615-nucleotide long non-coding RNA. RefSeq lists it as uncharacterized. Lineage: Eukaryota; Viridiplantae; Streptophyta; Magnoliopsida; Rosales; Rosaceae. The transcript is spliced from 7 exons. The record is from RefSeq and is a predicted model, not a curated record.
UGAUUUGGCGUUUUGGUUUUUCUGAUGAGCUCUAUGUUUUCAUUUGUUCUUAGGAAGGAGAGGGAUGAUGAGGUUUGGAUUUUGUUCGAUCAAAAAGGUGUUGGGGUGAUUAGCGUGAUCUUCUCUGUUUCUUUCUGUGUUCGUUCUUGGCUGGGCUUUUGGCAUCUAGAGAUUCUUCGGUGUGUGAUUGAUUUGGGGUAGGAGAGGCAGAGUGAUUGUGGAGGAAAUGGAAGAAGAAUUGACAGCGAAAGAUUAACGGAGAGGAGAGGAAUCCUUCUUGCUUGAAAGAAGGAGAAGGAAGAAGAGAGGAGCUUUUGUUUGCUUGAAAGAAAAGAAGUGGAAGGGAUUUGAAUAAACAAAAACGGGAGGUGGUAGUAUUGCUCUGUUCUCUGAUUUUUGGAUUGUUGUUCUUUGCUUCCUUGAUGCAGUUGCCUUUCUCUUGAGGGUCUGUUAGCAGAAUAUCAGAAGAGAUCAGAGACGAGAACUUCUCCCUCUUGCCACCUGUCCUAUCUUUCAAGAUCAGCAUUGCAGAUUAGCAUAGAGAGAGCUUGAACAACAACUUCAACUUCAGCUAUUACUUUCAGUGAGAUUUCAGAGAGAGACGGCAGGCAGCUA